AAGUCGUAACAAGGUAACCGUAGGUGAACCUGCGGUUGGAUCAUUAACAAAAAAAUUGGAAGGCUUUUCUGAAUACUCUUCGGGAAAGCCUUUUAAAAACACCAAUUUGUGAACUGUAUUAUUGUUUCUUUUCUGUGGUUUUAUCAUAUGAACUGUUUUUAAGUGUGUUUACGCGCGCUGGUUUGUGUGAUAGCCCAGAAAAAACCUUUUAAACUUAAGAUAUAUACCAUUUUGACCAUUUAAAAUAAAAGUUUUGAAAUUUUUUUAAACAUUAAAUAAAUUAAAAAAA
This 289-nucleotide unclassified non-coding RNA is filed under the name plant metagenome. Its description in RNAcentral is "partial contains small subunit ribosomal RNA and internal transcribed spacer 1". The stretch from base 1 to 46 matches the Rfam family "Eukaryotic small subunit ribosomal RNA", at positions 1786 to 1831 of the family's 1831-position model. The record is from RNAcentral.